This 212-nucleotide long non-coding RNA is filed under the name Apteryx rowi (Okarito brown kiwi). Its description in RNAcentral is "lncRNA (ENSARWG00000000313.1)". The record is from RNAcentral. Lineage: Eukaryota; Metazoa; Chordata; Aves; Apterygiformes; Apterygidae.
UUGAUCCAUUAUUUCUUCUUUUCAUCCUUUUCUUUAUCCAGUUCUCUUCUCUCCCUCAACAGAUCUCAGCCCUUCAUCUUUCCAAGAAAAGGCUAUGGAUUUGGAAGUGCUUCUGGAUAGAAAAGUUGAGUGACCACUGUUUAGCACUUCUGUAAGUAUGUUUAUGCAAGUUGAUUGACUGGUGGCACAGCUCAAGUUGUCAUUGAUAAGUG